Molecule: long non-coding RNA, 432 nt
Organism: Ochotona princeps (American pika)
Lineage: Eukaryota; Metazoa; Chordata; Mammalia; Lagomorpha; Ochotonidae
Exons: 3
Source: RefSeq, a predicted model, not a curated record
AAGGGGAACUCAGUCUGACUUCAUUUUUCCCCCAAUGGCCUGGUGCUCGGAUGUAGUUCAAAUUCCUUCUCUAAGCAGAGGCAUUUCUCCCCCUUGUGCUCCUUAGAGCUCCAGGAGGGGUGACACAGGCAAUUCUGCUUAUUGAUUGAUGCAAUGCAAUUUUUUAAAUGAGUAUAAUUAAUGAAGCAUUGUGGCUUCUCACCUGGACUUUAUAGCUCUUGUGAAGAGGACUAGAGAUUCCUUAGGAAAGAUGCCUUCCAUGUGACAGACCAGCAUUCAGCAUUGUGCCUGUGCUAUUCGCAGUAUUCAAGUCAUGAAACCAAUUUGUCAAUAAAGGAAAUGUGGAUAUGCCCACCGGUAUACUAAUCAGCUCUACAAAAGGAAACCCUGUCAUUCCUAACCACAUGGAUGAUGACAUCAUGCUCAAGUAAA